GUGCCAGCCGCCGCGGUAAUACGGAGGGUGCAAGCGUUAUCCGGAUUCACUGGGUUUAAAGGGUGCGUAGGAGGGCAGGUAAGUCAGUGGUGAAAUCUCCAAGCUUAACUUGGAAACUGCCGUUGAUACUAUCUGUCUUGAAUACCGUGGAGGUGAGCGGAAUAUGUCAUGUAGCGGUGAAAUGCUUAGAUAUGACAUAGAACACCAAUUGCGAAGGCAGCUCGCUACACGAAUAUUGACUCUGAGGCACGAAAGCGUGGGGAUCAAACAGGAUUAGAUACCCUGGUAGUCC
RNAcentral lists this ribosomal RNA (292 nucleotides) under uncultured bacterium. RNAcentral describes it as "partial 16S ribosomal RNA". It matches the Rfam family "Bacterial small subunit ribosomal RNA", at positions 505 to 796 of the family's 1533-position model. The record is from RNAcentral.